RNAcentral lists this long non-coding RNA (1155 nucleotides) under Homo sapiens (human). Its description in RNAcentral is "non-protein coding lnc-NID2-7:1". The record is from RNAcentral. Lineage: Eukaryota; Metazoa; Chordata; Mammalia; Primates; Hominidae.
GUUUGAACCAUAUAUGAGAUGGGAAACCAGACCAGAUUGUUUUAAUAAACACAAGUGACGACUUAUGAGUUAUGACAGAGAAUCAAAUAUUGUUAAGGGGACUGGGUCCCUAGAGGGAAAGGAGAGCCAGUGACAGGAACACACAGCUGGUAGCAGCCAUUUGCAAGAUAAAACUGCUCCAUGUUUCUGCCUCAACAAAUUGAAUGUCUUCAAUCAAACUGGUUGAAUAUCUGGGACAGCCACGAGAACAAAGUAGGAAGGAGCAGAGCGAACUGAGAAGAGAACACACAGCCAGGAGAUGCACAGAAAGGAGAUACAUUUCCUUUGCCUGAGUCACCAGAAGAGUCUUUAGAGCCACGGUGGAAACCAAGGAAAUAUUUGGAGGCAACAGAAUGAAUGACAAUCCAGGCACAAGGCUGAGAAGCAAAAUUUAAGAUGCAGAGAGUUUGAGAUUGGGGCACCAGUGGAAGAGGGAGAACAGAAAUGAGGUAUUUACAGAGGAGAGAAGUCUGUCAGUAAACUGGGAACUGGGCAACUUUGGGGACUGCAUCCAGAGUGGAGAACCAAGACUCUGCCCAAUAAAGAGGGAGGAAGACAAAUGGGCUCAAGGAGCUACUUUGGAUUCUCUGUUGGUGGUAGAUUUUGUGUGGAACAUUUUAUAGAUGUCACAGGGGACAUGAUUGACAGAAAGAUGCAACAGACACUGUACAGGAACAUAAAGCUUCUUAAUGAUAAAAUAAGGGAUGAAGAAAGUUCUGGGAGUAAAGGAGAAGACAAAGUGUCAUGCUCCCAGACCGAGGUACAGGCUUCCAUAUUCCCAGCUCCUACGAUGACAUCUAGCUACUGAUGGAGCUACCCAGGUGGAGCAGUGAUUUCACCAGACAUGAGAAACUCACCUCUGCCAUUCUUACAGGUACUCUUAUACCUUCUGGAGUCCUUCACAGUACCCUGGUUGCCAGAUGCAAGUAAUUGAUACAAAACUAUAACACAUUUCUAAUGCUUAUUGCAAGACAGUCAGUCAAAGACCAAUUCCCCAGGAGCAUCCUACAACUCGCUGAAGUUGCAAGACUGUUGGAGAUCUACCCCUAGAGUUGUAAUAACAUGAAGUUAGACAUGGUUCUGCAUAUAUUCCAGGACUCCAUAUUUAUAUUGAAU